This 272-nucleotide unclassified non-coding RNA is filed under the name uncultured Agaricales. RNAcentral's name for it is "sequence contains 5.8S rRNA gene, ITS2, 28S rRNA gene". Lineage: Eukaryota; Fungi; Basidiomycota; Agaricomycetes; Agaricales. The record is from RNAcentral.
AACGCAUCUUGCGCUCCUUGGUAUUCUGAGGAGCACGCCUGUUUGAGGGUCAUUUUAAUGUCUCAACUGCAUCCCCUUGGGGCGGGGUGUGGCUUGGAUCUGGGGGAGGCAGGCUCUUGUGGCCUGCUCCCCUGAAAUGCAUGAGCGGUGUCGCAUGGCCUCUGCCUAAGGUGUGAUAAUUCUAUCCGCAUCUGCAUGUCGUGCCGCUGCUGUGUUGGUUGUUAUUUUUUGAACUUGACCUCAAAUCAGGUGGGACCACCCGCUGAACUUAA